GACGAACGCUGGCGGCGUGCCUAAUACAUGCAAGUCGAGCGGACCUUUGGGAGCUUGCUCCCAAAGGUUAGCGGCGGACGGGUGAGUAACACGUGGAUAACCUGCCGGUAAGACUGGGAUAACUCCGGGAAACCGGGGCUAAUACCGGAUAUGAUUUCAGUUCGCAUGAACUGAAAUGGAAAGGUGGCUUUUAGCUACCACUUACAGAUGGAUCCGCGGCGCAUUAGCUAGUUGGUGAGGUAACGGCUCACCAAGGCGACGAUGCGUAGCCGACCUGAGAGGGUGAUCGGCCACACUGGGACUGAGACACGGCCCAGACUCCUACGGGAGGCAGCAUG
RNAcentral lists this ribosomal RNA (338 nucleotides) under uncultured bacterium. RNAcentral's name for it is "bacterial SSU rRNA". It matches the Rfam family "Bacterial small subunit ribosomal RNA", at positions 28 to 354 of the family's 1533-position model. The record is from RNAcentral.